GUGGCGGACGGGUGAGUAAUGCUUGGGAAUCUGGCUUAUGGAGGGGGAUAACGACGGGAAACUGUCGCUAAUACCGCGUAAAGUCUAAGGACUAAAGGGUGGGACUUUCGGGCCACCCGCCAUAAGAUGAGCCCAAGUGGGAUUAGGUAGUUGGUUAGGUAAAGGCUGACCAAGCCGACGAUCUCUAGCUGGUCUGAGAGGAUGACCAGCCACACUGGAACUGAGACACGGUCCAGACUCCUACGGGAGGCAGCAGUGGGGAAUAUUGCACAAUGGGGGGAACCCUGAUGCAGCCAUGCCGCGUGAAUGAAGAAGGCCUUCGGGUUGUAAAGUUCUUUCGGUGAUGAGGAAGGGUGGUGUUUUAAUAGAGCACUACAUUGACGUUAGUCACAGAAGAAGCACCGGCUAACUCCGUGCCAGCAGCCGCGGUAAUACGGAGGGUGCGAGCGUUAAUCGGAAUAACUGGGCGUAAAGGGCACGCAGGCGGACUUUUAAGUGAGGUGUGAAAUCCCCGGGCUUAACCUGGGAAUGGCAUUUCAGACUGGGAGUCUAGAGUACUUUAGGGAGGGAUAGAAUUCCACGUGUAGCGGUGAAAUGCGUAGAGAUGUGGAGGAAUACCGAAGGCGAAGGCAGCCCCUUGGGAAGAUACUGACGCUCAUGUGCGAAAGCGUGGGGAGCAAACAGGAUUAGAUACCCUGGUAGUCCACG
This 708-nucleotide ribosomal RNA is filed under the name uncultured Actinobacillus sp. RNAcentral's name for it is "bacterial SSU rRNA". It matches the Rfam family "Bacterial small subunit ribosomal RNA", at positions 95 to 799 of the family's 1533-position model. Lineage: Bacteria; Pseudomonadati; Pseudomonadota; Gammaproteobacteria; Pasteurellales; Pasteurellaceae. The record is from RNAcentral.